This 655-nucleotide long non-coding RNA is filed under the name Anser brachyrhynchus (Pink-footed goose). RNAcentral describes it as "lncRNA (ENSABRG00000017731.1)". Lineage: Eukaryota; Metazoa; Chordata; Aves; Anseriformes; Anatidae. The record is from RNAcentral.
GGAAUUACAAUAAAAGCCAUCUUCUAGAACCCAAAAAACAAGCAGAGACAAGCAGGGUCCCUGGAACCUGCAGGGACCUAGCCUGACAAAAAGCUUAGAGGCUAAAGCUGAGAUUCUGAUUCUCUUGAUCAAGUCAAAGUCAUGAGCAAUCAGAUAUAAGAAUCUGCAUUUAAGAGCAUGAAUUUGUCUUUAUAUUUCCUGAAUUUGAAGCCAGUUUGAUAAACAGUACUCUGCAGAGAUGUUAAAUAAUUAUGCUUCACUUAAUUCACAGUGGUAUUCUUAAUUACUUUACUUAACAGGUUGGAGCAGUGGAAGGAGGGAUGCAGAUGUAUUCAUGAGAACUGUAAUUGCCUUGGUAGAGAACUAAUAUCUAGAUUAAGUUCACCUUGCUGUUUCCCUAGGAACUGGGAACUAAAUCAAGUCUGAGCCUUGAUCAACUACUUGCUUUGGAUGAUCCAGCAGGGAACCAGCACCUGAUCACCUGACACACAUUUGAUUUCUUGCAAUAUGAGACAUAUCCUUUGAAGGUCCAAGGAAAUGUGGGGAACUCUGCCUUUCAAAAGCUUGGGCAAGAGCUGAUGGGAACCUUUGUGUCAUGCUGCACAAUGCUGAUUCUUCCUCUGCACACAGUGAAUAAAGUAAAUAUUUGCUAUCA